CAGUCGAACGGAAGUACCUUCGGGUACUUUAGUGGCGAACGGGUGAGUAAUACAUAGGUAACCUACCCUUAAGACGAGGAUAGCCAUUGGAAACGAUGGAUAAAACUGGAUAGGAUAUAGAGGAAGAAUCUUUUAUAUUUAAAAGAGAGAUCUGCUUAAGGAGGGGCCUGUGGCGCAUUAGCUAGUUGGUGGGGUAAGGGCCUACCAAGGCGAUGAUGCGUAGCCGGACUGAGAGGUUGAACGGCCACAAUGGAACUGAGAACGGUCCAUACUCCUACGGGAGGCAGCAGUAGGGAAUUUUCGGCAAUGGGGGGAACCCUGACCGAGCAACGCCGCGUGAACGAAGAAGUUAUUCGUAAUGUAAAGUUCUUUUAUCAGGGAAGAAAGAGGAAUUUGACGGUACCUGAGGAAUAAGCUCCGGCUAACUACGUGCCAGCAGCCGCGGUAAUACGUAGGGAGCGAGCGUUAUCCGGAAUUAUUGGGCGUAAAGGGUGCGUAGAUGGCAUAGUAAGUCUUUUGUAAAAAUGCUGGGCUCAACCCAGUAGGGCAAAAGAUACUGCAAAGCUAGAGUAUGACAGAGGCAAGUGGAACUACAUGUGUAGCGGUAAAAUGCGUAAAUAUAUGUAAGAACACCAGUGGCGAAGGCGGCUUGCUGGGUCGAUACUGACAUUGAGGCACGAAAGCGUGGGGAGCAAACAGGAUUAGAUACCCUGGUAGUCCACGCCCUAAACGAUGAGUACUAAGUGUUGGUGAGAAUCAGUGCUGAAGUUAACGCAUUAAGUACUCCGCCUGAGUAGUACGUACGCAAGUAUGAAACUUAAAGGAAUUGACGGGAGCCCGCACAAGCGGU
RNAcentral lists this ribosomal RNA (850 nucleotides) under uncultured bacterium. RNAcentral's name for it is "bacterial SSU rRNA". It matches the Rfam family "Bacterial small subunit ribosomal RNA", at positions 59 to 933 of the family's 1533-position model. The record is from RNAcentral.